UGGGGAAUAUUGCACAAUGGGCGCAAGCCUGAUGCAGCCAUGCCGCGUGUAUGAAGAAGGCCUUCGGGUUGUAAAGUACUUUCAGCGAGGAGGAAGGCGUUGUGGUUAAUAACCGCAACGAUUGACGUUACUCGCAGAAGAAGCACCGGCUAACUCCGUGCCAGCAGCCGCGGUAAUACGGAGGGUGCAAGCGUUAAUCGGAAUUACUGGGCGUAAAGCGCACGCAGUCGGUCUGUCAAGUCGGAUGUGAAAUCCCCGGGCUCAAGCUGGGAACUGCAUCCGAAACUGGCAGGCUAGAGUCUUGUAGAGGGGGGUAGAAUUCCAGGUGUAGCGGUGAAAUGCGUAGAGAUCUGGAGGAAUACCGGUGGCGAAGGCGGCCCCCUGGACAAAGACUGACGCUCAGGUGCGAAAGCGUGGGGAGCAAACA
This 427-nucleotide ribosomal RNA is filed under the name uncultured bacterium. Its description in RNAcentral is "partial 16S ribosomal RNA". It matches the Rfam family "Bacterial small subunit ribosomal RNA", at positions 355 to 774 of the family's 1533-position model. The record is from RNAcentral.